This 125-nucleotide microRNA precursor is filed under the name Mus spretus (western wild mouse). RNAcentral describes it as "predicted gene, 55775 (ENSMSPG00010046426.1)". The record is from RNAcentral. Lineage: Eukaryota; Metazoa; Chordata; Mammalia; Rodentia; Muridae.
GGUUUCUCUGUGUAGCCUUGGCUGUCCUGGAACUCACUUUGUAGACCAGGCUGGCCGUGAACUCAGAAAUCCACCUGCCUCUGCCUCCCGAGUGCUGGGAUUAAAGGCGUGCGCCACCACGCCCG